Molecule: ribosomal RNA, 253 nt
Filed under: uncultured bacterium
Lineage: Bacteria
Description: partial 16S ribosomal RNA
Rfam family: Bacterial small subunit ribosomal RNA
Source: RNAcentral
UACGUAGGGUGCAAGCGUUAAUCGGAAUUACUGGGCGUAAAGCGUGCGCAGGCGGCUUUGCAAGACAGAUGUUAAAUCCCCGGGCUUAACCUGGGAAUUGCAUUUGUGACUGCCCGGCUAGAGUGUGUCAGAGGGGGGUAGAAUUCCACGUGUAGCAGUGAAAUGCGUAGAUAUGUGGAGGAAUACCGAUGGCGAAGGCAGCCCCCUGGGAUAACACUGACGCUCAUGCACGAAAGCGUGGGGAGCAAACAGG